This 484-nucleotide ribosomal RNA is filed under the name uncultured bacterium. RNAcentral describes it as "partial 16S ribosomal RNA". It matches the Rfam family "Bacterial small subunit ribosomal RNA", at positions 30 to 507 of the family's 1533-position model. The record is from RNAcentral.
AUUGAACGCUGGCGGCAGGCCUAACACAUGCAAGUCGAACGGAUGAAUGGAGCUUGCUCCUGGAUUCAGCGGCGGACGGGUGAGUAAUGCCUAGGAAUCUGCCUGGUAGUGGGGGAUAACGUCCGGAAACGGGCGCUAAUACCGCAUACGUCCUGAGGGAGACAGUGGGGGAUCUUCGGACCUCUCGCUAUCAGAUGAGCCUAGGUCGGAUUAGCUAGUUGGUGGGGUAAAGGCCUACCAAGGCGACGAUCCGUAACUGGUCUGAGAGGAUGAUCAGUCACACUGGAACUGAGAAACGGUCCAGACACCUACGGGAGGAAGCAGUGGGGAAUAUUGGACAAUGGGCGAAAGCCUGAUCCAGCCAUGCCGCGUGUGUGAAGAAGGUCUUCGGAUUGUAAAGCACUUUAAGUUGGGAGGAAGGGCAGUAAGUUAAUACCUUGCUGUUUUGACGUUACCAACAGAAUAAGCACCGGCUAACUUCGUG